CUGCGGCGGCCUACACAUGCCAGUCGUAACAAGGUAACCACUACUUGUACCUGGUGGCGAGCGGCGGACGGGUGAGUAAUGCCUAGGAAUCUGCCUGGUAGUGGGGGAUAACGCUCGGAAACGGACGCUAAUACCGCAUACGUCCUACGGGAGAAAGCAGGGGACCUUCGGGCCUUGCGCUAUCAGAUGAGCCUAGGUCGGAUUAGCUAGUUGGUGAGGUAACGGCUCACCAAGGCGACGAUCCGUAACUGGUCUGAGAGGAUGAUCAGUCACACUGGAACUGAGACACGGUCCAGACUCCUACGGGAGGCAGCAGUGGGGAAUAUUGGACAAUGGGCGAAAGCCUGAUCCAGCCAUGCCGCGUGUGUGAAGAAGGUCUUCGGAUUGUAAAGCACUUUAAGUUGGGAGGAAGGGCAUUAACCUAAUACGUUAGUGUUUUGACGUUACCGACAGAAUAAGCACCGGCUAACUCUGUGCCAGCAGCCGCGGUAAUACAGAGGGUGCAAGCGUUAAUCGGAAUUACUGGGCGUAAAGCGCGCGUAGGUGGUUCGUUAAGUUGGAUGUGAAAUCCCCGGGCUCAACCUGGGAACUGCAUUCAAAACUGUCAAGCUACAGUAUGGUAGAGGGUGGUGGAAUUUCCUGUGUAUCGGUGAAAUGC
Molecule: ribosomal RNA, 658 nt
Filed under: uncultured bacterium
Lineage: Bacteria
Description: bacterial SSU rRNA
Rfam family: Bacterial small subunit ribosomal RNA
Source: RNAcentral